Molecule: ribosomal RNA, 253 nt
Filed under: uncultured bacterium
Lineage: Bacteria
Description: partial 16S ribosomal RNA
Rfam family: Bacterial small subunit ribosomal RNA
Source: RNAcentral
UACAGAGGAGCCAAGCGUUGUCCGGAUUGACUGGGCGUAAAGCGCACGCAGGCGGUCGUGCGCGUGGGGUGUGAAAUCUGGCCGCUUAACGGCCAGGCGCCAUCCCAUACGGCACGACUGGAGGGCUGCAGAGGUCGAUGGAAUUGCCGGUGUAGUGGUGAAAUGCGUAGAUAUCAGGAGGAACACCGGUGGUGUAGACGGCUCACUGGACCGUAACUGACGCUGAGACACGAAAGCGUGGGUAGCAAACAGG